GGUAUCGCCAAGUCUGGUUAAGGCACUGGAUUCUGAAUCCAGCAUUCGUAGGUUCGAAUCCUACUACCC
Molecule: transfer RNA, 69 nt
Filed under: uncultured Sutterella sp.
Lineage: Bacteria; Pseudomonadati; Pseudomonadota; Betaproteobacteria; Burkholderiales; Sutterellaceae
Rfam family: tRNA
About the family: Transfer RNA (tRNA) molecules are approximately 80 nucleotides in length. Their secondary structure includes four short double-helical elements and three loops (D, anti-codon, and T loops). Further hydrogen bonds mediate the characteristic L-shaped molecular structure. tRNAs have two regions of fundamental functional importance: the anti-codon, which is responsible for specific mRNA codon recognition, and the 3' end, to which the tRNAs corresponding amino acid is attached (by aminoacyl-tRNA synthetases). tRNAs cope with the degeneracy of the genetic code in two manners: having more than one tRNA (with a specific anti-codon) for a particular amino acid; and 'wobble' base-pairing, i.e. permitting non-standard base-pairing at the 3rd anti-codon position.
Source: RNAcentral